This 30-nucleotide non-coding RNA is filed under the name Rattus norvegicus (Norway rat). Lineage: Eukaryota; Metazoa; Chordata; Mammalia; Rodentia; Muridae. The record is from RNAcentral.
UGAAUUUGAAAAUUGCUCUUUCUAACUCUA